This 305-nucleotide ribosomal RNA is filed under the name uncultured bacterium. Its description in RNAcentral is "bacterial SSU rRNA". It matches the Rfam family "Bacterial small subunit ribosomal RNA", at positions 335 to 638 of the family's 1533-position model. The record is from RNAcentral.
UCUCCUACGGGAGGCAGCAGUGAGGAAUAUUGGUCAAUGGGAGAGAUCCUGAACCAGCCAAGCCGCGUGAGGGAAGACGGCCCCAUGGGUUGUAAACCUCUUUUGUCGGAGAACAAAACCCGGGACGUGUCCCGGACUGCGUGUAUCCGAAGAAAAAGCAUCGGCUAACUCCGUGCCAGCAGCCGCGGUAAUACGGAGGAUGCGAGCGUUAUCCGGAUUCAUUGGGCGUAAAGCGCGCGUAGGCGGCCUGUUAGGUCGGGGGUCAAAUACCGGGGCUCAACCCCGGUCCGCCCCCGAUACCGGCG